RNAcentral lists this transfer RNA (67 nucleotides) under Microtendipes umbrosus. RNAcentral's name for it is "tRNA-Asp". Lineage: Eukaryota; Metazoa; Arthropoda; Insecta; Diptera; Chironomidae. The record is from RNAcentral.
AAAAAAUUAGUUAAUUUAAUAAUAUUAGUAUGUCAAACUAAUGUAAUCUUAUAAAAGAUAUUUUUUA